UUUAUUGGUGUUCCACGUUAAUCUUGAACCACUCUAAUCCAUCCCGAACUUAGAGGUGAAAUAGAUUAAGAGAUUUAAAAACUUAAUGGGUAGCUAUUUGGAAAUUAAAUCUUAAUGCCAAUAUA
This 125-nucleotide ribosomal RNA is filed under the name Microglena monadina. Lineage: Eukaryota; Viridiplantae; Chlorophyta; Chlorophyceae; Chlamydomonadales; Chlamydomonadaceae. The record is from RNAcentral.